CUAUUAUCUCACAAAACUGCAUAGCAUAAAGUUAUGGUAUUGAUAUUAUAUCGAGUCAAAGAAGUUGAUUGCUCCGACUACGAAAUUAUCAGAAUCAUGUUUAAGCAAAAAGCAUUCUGUAAUUGUAACUCAUUCCAACAUCAAGUGGGAGAAAGGCAACAUACCUUCUCUGAACCUUGUUCUUCAUAUUAUGACAAAAUACAGGUAGUCUCCUCUCAAAAUAACUCAUAUUAAAUCUAAUUUAUUAGAAGGUCUGACGCCUGACAGGCAGUUCUCCUCUUACUUGAUGCUAGUCUCUUUUAUUUAAUCCUCCAACACAUGAUCAAAAAGUUUUUAAGUUACGAUUGCAACUUGUGCAUAAAUUUAGCCUGCCAAAAAUUCUCUGCUGAGAUCAAUAUUAUUUAAUAUAAGCAAAAACAAGUAAAUGAAAAUAAGAAAGUGAUUUCUUGAAGCACUAGAAUUCAUCUUGCACAUGCUAUGAAAUAAAAGUCCCCCCUCUUCAAAUGAUCUAGAAGACAG
This 519-nucleotide long non-coding RNA is filed under the name Manihot esculenta (cassava). Its description in RNAcentral is "long non-coding RNA (MESC_LNC000775)". Lineage: Eukaryota; Viridiplantae; Streptophyta; Magnoliopsida; Malpighiales; Euphorbiaceae. The record is from RNAcentral.